AUUGAACGCUGGCGGCAUGCCUUACACAUGCAAGUCGAACGGUAACAGGUCUUCGGAUGCUGACGAGUGGCGAACGGGUGAGUAAUACAUCGGAACGUGCCUAGUAGUGGGGGAUAACUACUCGAAAGAGUGGCUAAUACCGCAUGAGAUCUACGGAUGAAAGCAGGGGAUCGCAAGACCUUGUGCUACUAGAGCGGCCGAUGGCAGAGUAGGUAGUUGGUGGGAUAAAAGCUUACCAAGCCGAAGAUCUGUAGCUGGUCUGAGAGGGAGAUGAGCAACAGCGGGACUGAGAAACGGCACAGACUCCUACGGGAGGCAGCAGUGGGGAAUUUUGGACAAUGGGCGAAAGCCUGAUCAAGCAAUGCCGCGUGCAGGAUGAAGGCCUUCGGGUUGUAAACUGCUUUUGUACGGAACGAAAAGCCCCGGGUUAAUACCCUGGGGUCAUGACGGUACCGUAAGAAUAAGCACCGGCUAACUACGUGCCAGCAGCCGCCGUAA
Molecule: ribosomal RNA, 498 nt
Filed under: uncultured bacterium
Lineage: Bacteria
Description: partial 16S ribosomal RNA
Rfam family: Bacterial small subunit ribosomal RNA
Source: RNAcentral